This 450-nucleotide ribosomal RNA is filed under the name uncultured bacterium. RNAcentral's name for it is "partial 16S ribosomal RNA". It matches the Rfam family "Bacterial small subunit ribosomal RNA", at positions 354 to 796 of the family's 1533-position model. The record is from RNAcentral.
GUGGGGAAUCUUCCGCAAUGGACGAAAGUCUGACGGAGCAACGCCGCGUGAGUGAAGAAGGUUUUCGGAUCGUAAAGCUCUUUCGUUAGGGACGAACGUGCUCUUUGUGAAUAAUGAGGAGUAAUGACGGUACCUAAAUAAGAAGCCACGGCUAACUACGUGCCAGCAGCCGCGGUAAUACGUAGGUGGCAAGCGUUGUCCGGAAUUAUUGGGCGUAAAGCGCGCGCAGGCGGGAUAUCAAGUCUGUCUUAAAAGUGCGAGGCUCAACCUCGUGAGGGGACAGAAACUGGUAUUCUUGAGUGUCGGAGAGGAAAGUGGAAUUCCAGGUGUAGCGGUGAAAUGCGUAGAGAUUUGGAAGAACACCAGUGGCGAAGGCGACUUUCUGGACGAUGUCUGACGCUGAGGCGCGAAAGCUAGGGGAGCGAACGGGAUUAGAUACCCUAGUAGUCC